RNAcentral lists this long non-coding RNA (20498 nucleotides) under Prunus persica (peach). Its description in RNAcentral is "long non-coding RNA (PPER_LNC001494)". The record is from RNAcentral. Lineage: Eukaryota; Viridiplantae; Streptophyta; Magnoliopsida; Rosales; Rosaceae.
GCAGUUCUCAGUGUUGGAUAUGGGGGGUAUGCAUUGAAGAGCUUUCUUGCAAGGAAUGGUCCAGCAACCCACAGUCACGAUGACGGAAAAGCAUAUAAAGAGACCCAUGCAAAGUAGAAAGUAGAAAUCACGCAUCUGUUUAUGAUGAUUAUCAACCGGCACAACCCCCUUGCGGAUCUGCCUUUGUUCCCUUUCAUCCUUAAUUUCUACGGUUGUAGGAUCUUCAGAAGCAACCUGCCCUGAAGCUUCUAUUAUCGUUGAAGUCCAGUACGAUAAUAUGUUGGCUUUGAGCCCAUGAUCUGAAGGUGAAGUUUCUAGCUUCACCAGAUCACUUUCCAAUUUAUUUCGCUCAAUCUUGGUUUGGUGUCUCUGCAGGACACUUCUUUUAUAAUUGCUUCCAAUUACAAGAAAUGAAACCAAAUUGAAAACGGUUGCAAUUAGAGAGAGGCUGAAAAGGAACCAAUGAUCUGAGCAUCGGAGCGCUGUGGUGGCAGUGAUGAUAGCCCCCAAAAGAAUUCCUUGGAAGACGAAGUAGUAGUUUGCAAGGUUGAAGGCACCCGUUUGAAGAUGGUUUACACGAUCGUCCUGCUUCUCAAUUACAGCUUGUAGCUCCUCUUUUCUUUUGUCCAUGUUUUCUUUUUUUUCAUUGUCACCAUUUGGUGGACAUGUCUGGUUAACCAUACUUAAACUAAGAGAGCUAAAGAUAAGAAUGCAGAGAGUCUUAGAGUAAAGUCCCCUCCUCCAUACAACUUAUAUAUACAAAUAUACUGUUGGCUUUUUGAAUAAUCCAAAUACACUCACUCUCACACUCAGCUGCACCUGAUUCUAUACACAACAAAAGACUCAAAGUAAAGCAAGUCUUUUCAGUGCAGGACGUCCGUUCUUUGCUAAAGAACAGAUUUUGUACUGAUAAUGUUGUCAACACCGUAUCAACACAUAUAAUCGAGGACGGAUUUUGUAUUAAUAAUGCUGUCGACCGCUGUAUGAACCGAAAAAAAAAACAGAGCGGAGGAAAGUUGCUCUCGGUACAAACUUCUGCUUGUCUAUUGGAAAGUGAGAACAUCUCUUUGGCAAAGUGUAGACCGUUGAAAGGGAAAACUUCCCUGUUAACGCAUAUUAUCCACACACAAAAGCUUAAAACAAUCAACAUCCUGAGGAAAACCUUUGCAUCUUCUCAAGGGUGACUAGUGGAGGGACCACUAAUUUGUCUUCGAUGACAAUUAUUAGCAAUUGAUUUUGUGAUUUUUCCGGCCGAAUAAGAUACGUGGGGCUGAGGUUUUCUUUAUGGGUUUGAAAAAUUGGAGAUGCUCUUCAUUUGGGGUCAUUGGGCUUUUGGUCAUCUUUUUAAAGUACUUGAACAUGCAAUUGAUCUUAUGUAUAUGAUUUAUUGCAUCUGAAAUUAAAAGUAUCAAGUCAAUGGAUCGAUAUACGUGUUUAGAUUGCUUAAACAAAUCAAAGUACCCUUUUAUAUAUUAUCUUGAAUUGAUGAACUCAGAUCAACAUAUAUAUGCUUGAAUUCACCAAAUUGAUUGUUUUACAAUUUUCUCUGUACUCAACAUAUAUAACUAGUGUAGAGGCUAAAAAAGAGUGUUAAACCUAAUCUAUGUCCACCUUUUAGGACUUUUAGAAUUUUAACCACUCGAGGGGGAUUUGAGCACUGCUUGAGGAAUCUAGAAGGGGAUUUGAGUACUGCAAGAGGAAUCUCAAAUAGGGCUUGUGAAGUGAUCAAGGAAACCUCAAGUGGCUAUAUUUCUAAAUCUUGAAGAAAAAAAAAAAAAAAAAGCUUAAUGUCUUUCAUGUGUUUUAAAAAUAUUUAGUUGUUGCCAAAUUGAUUGUCAUGCGCGGGUUGCUCACAUUAGAAGGGAAUGAAAGGAAUUGAGGUUCCAUUCCAAAACCAAUGUAUAGUUAGGGGGAGUAGUCCAACUCCUUAUAAGCCCUUGCAAGGUUUUAUAACUUUCCUUGUAUUCUCUUCAUAAUUAUCAUGAAUUUCAUUUUUUAAAUUUGUUAAAUACUUAUUUCGUCAUCCACACUAUUAAAGAUUUAAAAAUUAAUAAUUUUUUUUCCAAUAGAGAAAAAAAAAAAAGUUCAUGAAACUCAAUAUUAAGGUACCCAACUCAUACAAAAUAAAAAAAUUCACAAAGCUUUAAACAAAAGAGGAAGAGAACUUUAAGAGUUUUUAGUGCAAAUGUCUUAAACUACCGUGGCUAGGAGAACUGUGGCUUAUACCAUAGUUUUCUAGUAGUGUGGCUCCGGCCCUGCUGGUAUAGCACAGCUUGGCGGUGCUCAAAGGUGUGGUAGGCAGUGCACUGGUGUUGCUAGUGAUUUCACGAUUGAGUUGGGAGAUGAGGGAAGAGGAGAUACGUAUAGGGUUAUUAAAUCUUUUUAUUUUUUUCCUUAAGAAAAGACUAAAAUCGAAAAGAAUAAUAAAUAAAUAAUAAAUAUUUAUUGGCUGGGCUGGGGUGGCUUUUCUUGUUAGCAUAGAUUAUGUACCUAUAUUUCAUCUUUUUCUUAAAUAUUAUAAUAAUAUUCUACCCUAUCCCUUGUACUAGUUGGUGGUUUAUAGCUUAUCACAUAUAGGUAAAUUGUUUUGGUACUAGGUAAUUUGCUUUCAUGUAUAGUUAGUAAGCAAAGUGUUUUGAUUUGGAAGCUUGCCACGAAAAAUAAAUAUGAUCAUAUGGAAGUAAGAAAAUAUGAGUUACAAGCAGAAAAGCCAACUUUUUUUUAUUUUCUGUGCUAAAGGCCUAAAUUCAUUAGAAUCUUAUCUUUUAUAUGAGGCCUGAUUCUUUAAUAACACCCAGAAAGUCUUAUUUGUAAAAUAUGUAUACAAGCACAAAAUCAUAUAAACCAUUACAGAUAAUGACGAGCAUCAAAAUACGGUAAACUUUAUUGUGGUUCCAAUCUACUUGGAUAACCCUAGCUCAAAGCUAUAUAGAACUGUUGAACUUGAAGCCCUAGAAUUGGGUGCAAAUGCUCAUACACUUGGCACCUUCACAAACCCUAAUGCAUUUAUCACCUUUGGCGUUUGAUAUCGGGGGUGUGCAUUGAAGAGUUUUCUUGCAAGGAAUGGUCCAGCAACCCAUAAUCACAAUGACGGCAAAGAUUAUAAAUAGACCCAUGCAAAGUACAAAGUAGAACUCACGUAGAUGAUUUGUUACAACAGGAAUGACCCUCCUUCUAUGCCUUAGUUCCGGUUCAUCCUUAAUUUCUACGGUCGUAGGAUGUUGAGAGGUCGUAGGAUGUUGAAAAGCGACCUCUGGAUGUUGAAUCUUUGUCGUAUCCCAGUAGGUUAAUAUUUUAGUUUUGAGCCUUUGAUCUGAAGGUGAAGUCUCUAGCUUGCUCAGAUCACUUUCCAAUUCAAUGAGCUCACUCUUGGUUUGGUGUCUCUGCAUGACGCUUCUUUUAUAAUUGCUUCCAAUUACAAGCAAUGAAACCAAGUUGAGUAUGGCUGCUAUCAGAGAGAGGCUGAAAAGGAACCAGCGAUCUGAGCAUCUGAGCGCUGUGGUGGCAGUGACGAUAGCCCCCAAAAUAAUUCCUUGAAAGACGAAGUAGUAGUUUGCAAGGAUAAAGGCGCUCGUUUGAAGUUGACGUACUUUAUCAUCCUGCUUCUCAAUGGUAGUUUGCAACUCCCGUUUUCUUUUCUCCAUGUUUUCUCUCUUUUCUUUGUCACCAUUUGGUGGACAUGGAUGGUUAACCAUAUUCAUACUAAGAGAGCUAAAGAUAAGAAUGCAAUGCAAGGAGUCUUAGAGUAAUUCAAGUCUCCUCCUCCUCCAUACAACUUAUAUAUACAGAGAUACUUCUGUUGGCUUUUUGAAUAUGCCAAAACACUCACUGACUCUCACACUCAAAAGUCAAUAUUGUGUAUGUUGCUGUCUAUGUUUUGUAGUACCGUAGUGGAAACGUAUGAGGUAAGGUAACCCCCUUCCCCAUUCUACCUUGGACAAAACAAAAAAAGGCACGAUUUCUAUUCAUUGUUAAAGGACGAAUCAACACAACGAAACCAUUGAAACGUGAGAACAUCUUCUUGGCAAAGUUUACACUGUUGAAAAGGAUUACGCUUCAACCUCCUUUUGCUUUACAGAUCACCCGCACACAAAAGCUUUGAGCAUAUGUGGCUUAAAACAAUUCACGGAGGAAACAAUUGAAAUAAUUCAAGAUCUCUAGUCUAAUUCAGUCAUUUCAAGAUCAUGGGUGUCUAGUGGAGGGACCCCUAAUUUGUGUUUAAUGAUAAUUAGCUACUGAUAAUGUGAUGUUGGCUGCCUGCCAAAAGAUUAACGCGGCUGGCUGGUUCUCAAGUUUUCUUUAUGGGUCUGAAAAUUUUGAGAUGCUUCUUCUUUUCGCCUAGAGAGUAGAGAAAAGAGCUGUGUCACAUUGGGCUUUUGGAUCAUAUAUAUAGUUAAUGCAUAAGCGAGGACCCAAAGUAAAAGUUAAAUUUGUGCAUUUCUAAAAGCCCAAAGCCUAACGUUGGAGGAAAAAUACUUUUUAUUAUAACGGAAAUUUGUUUAAGGUAUAAGCUUUAAGGCCAUCUCUAGUUAUAGGACUAAAUGUAGUCCAUGACUAAAUAUUUAGUCCUUUAAAAUAUUAAUUUUUUAAAGAAUAGUGUAUGGUUAAAUUUUUUCAUCUCCAGCCCCCUUCAUAUUUUAUUAUUUAAAAAAAACUAUAGUACAAUACUCAUACAUUCCACAACUAUAUAUUGUUUAAUGUAAUUAAACUACUAUUUAGAGACAACAUUCCAUGACCAAUAAUUUUUUAUAAUUUUUUUUAAAUAACACUUGAAAACAUUUAAAAAGGUGACCGCAUUUAUUAUAUAUAUAUACAUAUAAAAGGAUGGGUUUCAAUGGUCUGACCUCCAAUGGUCAUGACCAGUAAUUUUUUACGAAUUGAAAACAUUUAAAAAGGUGACCACAUUAAAAAAAGAAAAUAGUUGGGUUUAAAUGAUCUGACCCCAAUGGUCAUGACCAAUAAUUUUUUAUAAAAUUUUUCUUAAACAACACGAAUUAAAAACAUCAGUCCCGAUCUCUUGGACCACAGGAGUCCAAGAGAUUGUGGUCACCCACCGUUGGAUAUUAAUCCAAUGGUUCAAAAAAGUUUUUUAAAAGGAGUGCAAGAGUGAGUGAACCGUUGAAUUUACAUCCAACUGUGAGUGACCACAAAUCUCUUGGACCCCUGUAGUCCAAGAGAUCAGGACUGUUAAAAACAUUUAAAAAGGCUUUUAAAAAUAUAUCGAUGACAUCAGCGCUUUUAUUGUUGGCUGUUGGAUAUGCAUUUACACGAGAUGAUUCGUGCUGUUGCCCACACUUGAUAAUUUAUCUUCUUCAAAAGCACACGUACGGGACCCACAAAAAAUUUGGCAUAGGCCAAAGUUGGGCUAAAUGUGGCCCGGUUGGAGGGUUAAAGGGCCAAAUGUACCCCUCCAAAUUUGGCCAAAAUUUUAUUUUGCCCAUGACUGGAGAUGGCCUAAGUAUCUCUUCUUUGACCGUGUAGCUGAGACAAAUACCAGUAGCUUUUAGAUCCUCUGCUUGCCUUUUCCUCUUCUUUGGGCAUUCUUUCAUCUCAAUGAAGUUUUGCUUGUUCAACCAAAAAACAAAACAAAACAAAAAAACAAAAAAAUUCAACUACACAAUAUCGUGUGAGUAAAGUCUACAAAAUGUUGUUGUUAUAAAAAUAUGAAUAUUGUUUGAAUACUUUAGGUUGAUUAUAUUCUUCUCCAUAAUUAGGGAUAUAUAGGAGUUUACAUGAGUGCUUUACAAAGAAAUAGAUACAGUAAAUAAUUAGGAGAAUAUCUCUUCAUUAUACAAGGACAUGCCAACUAUAUAAAAUAAGAAAGUAAAUCCCCUAAUUAAUCAAGGAAAUAAAUCUCCUUGACUAAUUAGGAUAGCUCAUGUCAACAGCUGUCGCACGCCAAUCAUGCAAGAGGAUGUAUCAACGGUAACUAUGCAUAAACCUUGCAAGCUAGUUGGGCAGAACUUACACUAGAAAGAUACACCUAGUCGGGGAAUGUAAUGAGCCUUAUCCUCAAAUGCAUCUCUAAACAUAAAUAAAAGUGUAAUGACCCAAACCUAAAAUUCAUAUUUAAUUAGUAAUUUAUUAUGCGGAAAGACAAUUUUGCCCUUGGAAUAAAUUAUGAACUCAAAGUUGACUUUUUGACCGAAAAGAAAUUUGAUAAUUCCACAUACACCGUUGCGUAGAGCACGACGACACGAGUUCGUAAACACGAAGUGAGCUCGAAUCGGAGUUUUAACGAAGAAAAUACGAGUAAAAUAUCACGAGGGGCAAAAUGGUAAUUUGAAAAAUUAGAUUUUAUAAAAAACCUCAGCUUUCUCUCUCUCUCUCUCUCUCUCUCUCUCUCUCCUUCUCUCUCCCCGCGAGCUCUCCCCCUCUCUGUUUUUUUUCCUCCAGCCGUCGCACUUCAAACGUCCAUAACUCCCUCCACCGACCACCUCUGCACCUGCCGUCGGCGCCAACAGAACCAGCUCGGUUCCGUCUUCAAGCCCCGACCACUCUCCGCUGCCAGCCGUCACUGUAGUCGCCGGAAUCCGUCCAAAAACGAGUCAGUUUUGUCAAAACUUCAAACUGUUCGUUCUCCUUCAAUUAUCCUCCGAAUUUGUCAAGGUAUGGAUUUCUAUCUAUUUUCUGUGCUCUAGCUGAUGGUUGGGUAGGUUUGCAUUGAUUUUUACCGUAGCUAGUUCAGUUAUCAAAUUGGAAGUCGGCCGACUUUCGGCCUCCGUGUUCGGCCACUUCUAUCGGCCGACUUCCGGUCAGUUUUUGGGGUUGGUCCAAGAACAAAAGUGGUUCCAAAUAUGGUGUUAUACCUAGAAUAGGAGUUUGGAGCCUUGGUUUUGAGAUUUUCUGGUGAUGCGUUAUCGCUUUGGACACCCAUUGCUGCCGGCGCGUGCGACGGCGCGUGGGCAAGUGUGGUGCAGUGACACUGUGUUCUGAUGCAAUCCUUAGGUCGUCACGAGCGCGUAGAAAUUCGCGGAUCUCAAUUUGGAUACCGUUUGAGCCUCGAACGGAUUUUCCAUAUUGUGCGAUUAUCGGGUUCAAUACUGUCGAGCCGUUGGAUAGUAAUAAAUUUUAGAUAUGUUAUUCGAGAUAAUUUUAGAAACGUGUAGGAUUCGACGGAUUGUGAAUCGGAGUCCCGGAUACUCCGAAAACGCGACCCUAGGGCGAGGGUUUAGAAAUUAUGCGAUUACAGGAUUGUGAUCAAUCCGACCGUCCGAUCAACACCAGUACCCUCGGGACAUACCCUCGGAGUCCCGGAUACUCCGAAAACGCGAACCCUAGGGCGAGGGUUUAGAAAUUAUGCGAUUAUAGGAUUGUGAUCAAUCCGACUGUCCGAUCAACACCAAUACCCUCGGGACAUGUGUCCUAAAUAUAUUGGACCUUCUAGCGGCAUCCGGAUCAUAUUGUGAGGUCAUGGACCCGUGGGGUUUUGGAUUGACUUUUUGGACCUUAGCGCUAUUUGAGUCCCAAGAUACCGCUAAACUACCCCACGUGGAAGGAAAGCUUUUAUGGGCAUAGGGAUCACUUUAAAUUGCUGCACGUACUUUUAGGAGCCGGGGGUAGGAUUUUUAAUUUAAUACUAUAUUGUAUUAAUAAAAUAUUAUGGUCAUUGAAUCAGGCACCCGGGCACCCGUUGACCCGCAGGAGGGACCUUCAAGAGGUCCAACGAGCUCAGACUAUCAGUGAGUGGACUCUUUGUUUUAAUAAAUGAAUUUAAGCAGUUCAGUUUCAGUUAUCAGCUGUUUUAUUCUGUAAAAUAUUUUAUGUUGCAUGCUGCCGAGUGAAAUUUCCUUUAAAGCUUAUAGGAACAGAUAUUCUCGUUAAUUGUCAGAUAAAUGGCAGCAGAAUUUAAAAGGUUACAGAAAGUUAAUUAUUUAAUAGUUUUGCUUCAGAAACUUUAUAUUUUCUUAAAUCACCUUGUACCCAGUUAUUAAAUGUUGUCUUCGGAUUAUAUUUGUUGCCUUCGGUUUAGUCAGCAUGCUUGACAGUUGCCCCACGAAUUCCUUGGUACUCGAACUCGUGUGGAGCGAGUAAUGCGGAUAAAGGUGGACUACGGUUCCCUGAAUCCUGCCAGUUGCAGCUCAGACUGACCUCAUGUCACUGAGACCUGCGAGUAUGUGUCACCCAUGGUGAUGCAAGGAAUUGACGGAUACAAGGAAUUAACGGAAAGAGGGUACACCUAGGUGAUAGUUUAAAUUGUUUUCAGGUGUAUAUAAUUAUAUACAGGCAUUGAUUUCAGAAAUGAAGCAAAAAAGCUAGUUUGUAUAACUGUUUUUACAGUGGGGUUAGUAUGUUCAUAUGGUAUUUUCUAAACUUUGUUUUUGGGUCCACUCACCCUUUUUGUUGUUUUGCGCCCCCAGGCAGUAGACGUGCACAGGAAUCCACCACCGGGCCACUUUCCAUCUUCCGCGCCUUUCUUCUGAUGUAGGAUUUUGUUUUGUAAACAGAUUCACUCUUUUGUACAUUUAGUAGUCGCUCUGAUUUUUGCCCUAGACUGAGAUUUGAACUGUUGGAAUGUAUAUAUACAUAUGAUGGCAGUUGGUUGUAUAUAUGUAUACUUGUUUGGCAAGUGAAAAUGUUUUGGUAUUGAGCCAGUUACAAGGGAAACUCUGCCGGUUUUUCGGUAGAAGUCAACCUUGUUAUUUUCUCAUGUUUUGUAUAGAAGGGCAAAUAGGUCAUUUAUGCCCGACAUUUGCCAGAUGUCGGACACGCACAGGGUCUGACUCGGAUUCCAAAGCGGAAUUUGGAUCAGGUCCUGUCAAAAAGCCUUUUAAAAAAAAUGAAAAUCACCACAUAAAUAGAAUUCAACACAAAACAAUACUAUUUAAAUCUAAAAAGUUUACCUUGCGAGACUUAGAAGAUAAUAUACCAACAACAAAAGGUUACCCUAUGAAUAGUAUGGUCUCUUGGGAUUCCAAUUGUAAUCCAACAUAAUAAAAGAAUACCUAUAAAUAAUGUGUUAAGGGCUUUUUUUUUAAAAAAAAAAAAGAAAAAGAAAAUGUAGAAUGACCCUUUUUUAUAAAUAAAAUAUAGGACUUUUAAUUAAAUAUACCAACAACAACAUCAAACAUCUGAACAUUAAUCAUAAGUAAUAGCAAGAGAGUAAAAAGAAAAAUUAAGUGCAAAAAUUUUAUAUGCUUCUCAAAAAUACCACAUAUGCUUGUUGAUAGAGACAAACGCAAAAAUUUGUGGAAAGACGCUUGUAUGGAGAACAAAACCUCCGCGCAGCCAAAAAUUGAUGGCGACAACAAAACUCUGCCCACAAAGUCACAAUGCGUAAAGAAAACAGAGGAGACGGCGUUUGGAUUCGGUUGGGCAGAUUAGAUACGCCUUUUUUACUAUCUUUACUAUUCUAUAAUCUCUCCUGUACUAGGCUAAUUUUUUUGGGGAAAACUCUGGGCCCGUAGCAGCUCAGUCUGCCGUCCAUGUACAUGAACUACAACACCCAAAAUUACCAAUACAAUUUUUAAAUUCUCAUAAGUAAAAAUAAGUAGAUACUCAGACCAAAAAAAAUAUCAAACUCAAAAAAAGUUAAUGUAAUUAUUACAAAUAAAAAAAAUUGUAAAAUCAACCGAGACGACAGAAACUACAGUCGCAACCAUGAAUAGUAAGAGCUCUAUUUAAUUAUGCUUUUUUAAAAAUAAAAAAGAAAAAAAAGAAAUCUUGUUGGACUCUCGUUUUCUUUUUGGCAAAUAAAAGGUAGGGGUCGUUUUUAAUAAACACCAAUACCAAAUAAUUGGAUAUUUGGAAUUGGACAUUAUCUGUCUUUCAUUUUCUUGGAUUUACCAAAAAAAUAGAAUAUUUUUCAUAAUUUUGACAAUGUUUCAUUUUUUUCUCCACUAUUUUAGCAUCUUUAAAAGCUCAACAUUCAUCUCCUCCUUCUUCCAUUUUCAGCUGUUGCAUCUGUUGGCUACAUCCAUUUGAGAUAUUUAGUAAUAUAUUCAUUCUUAACAUUAAAACUAUAAAUAAAUUUUACACUAUUUAAUUUCUAUAAACAAACCUAAAAAAAAAACUUAAAAAAUGACAGUUAGCCCUAUUGAAUUUAAUUUUGAUUAUUAAAUUACUUUGAUGUCCUAUUGAGUGUUUUAGGCUUUUUUAUGAGGUUUUUGGGUUGGGUUUGUUUUAAGAAAUCAAUGGCAAUUUUGUAAUUUAAAAGAAGUUAAAAGCCUUUUUAUUAUUGAAAUUGGUACUGAGGUGACGAGGGGUAAAUUUAAAAGAUAUUCAAUCAAGAACACAACAACCUUCACACACUCUAGACCUUGACCAAAUACUCUUAUGACUAGUCAACUAUUAGAUAUGAAUUAUACCAAACAAUAACAUACACAGAGCAUACCAAGAUGUACCUGCAGGCCUAGAGAAUUACUAGUGGCAACCUAGGCACUCAGAAGGACCCAUCAAUCUAGGCAUCCCUUGUGCUAGCAACAACUAUGGUGAAAGUGUGUGAAGACAACAUAAUCAAGUAAACACCAAAUAGCAGAAAAAGAUGACUAGUCAACCGCACAAAUUCAGAUGACUAGUGAACUAUCAAGAACACAAACUCAGAAAAUUUACAGAGAUGGAAACUAGAAAUUGUUCACCCAGAAAUCCACCAUUGGGAAAAACUGGGGGUCAUUAACCGACCAGGCAAUCCACUAAGCAAAAAAGAUUCUUACAAAGAACACUAGCAAGCUCAAGAAAUUCCUAGGUCUAUUUAGGAAGAUGAGCUAUACCUCCUUUGUGCAAUCUUCUUCUCAAACUUAGCAAAGCUUGAAGCUCAGUUCUUCAUGGCAAUGGCAGCUCCUUCUCCAGCUCUUUCAUCCCAUGACACUAGCUUGCAAGCUCUAACUCAGACAGAAAUGAAAUUUGGAUUCAUGGAGAAAAUGACCAAUUUCUUCAAGAAACCAUAUUCUUGAAGAAAUCAAUCUUGAAUCUGACCUAGAUGUAUAUGAUAGAGCGUUUGAUCUAGCAAGAUAAAGUUUUCAUAUUUCAAAUGCAGUUUUCAAAAAGAAACAAUUUGAAACUCAAAGAUGAAAAAUAUGAAGGUUACUCAUGAAGAAGAAGAAGCGAAAGUUUGCUAUGAAACUUUCCAAAACCUAUCCCCAAAAGUGACGGCUUCCCAAAGAAGAAUCGCAAGGCCUUUACAGACCAAAAAUUCCCGUAGGUCAGAAUCCCAUGUGGCAGCCAAGAGAGAAAAAAGAAUAGGACAAAAAAGUUGGUUAUCAAGCUGGAGAGCAAGGAUGACUAGUCAUCCAAGAAACAGAUGACUAGUCAUCAUUUUAUGAAAACAGUAUGAUGCAAUGUUAUGCAAUACACAAUUUACCUUUGCUAAUUUGCAUGAACCUCCAUAUGAUAGUUGUUAGUUUAGAACACCUAGAAAAGCUAUUCUCAAUCUAAACUUGAGCUUGAUAAAUAACAAUAGAAAUCCUAUUACAAAGUUGUCAAGGGAAGCCAAAAGAAAAAACCAAAAUGCAUACAUUAACAAUUAUGUUGUAAAUGGACUUUGGGUGUGUUUCUAAAGUCCAUUUCAUAUAUGGUUUUUUUUUAUAUAAUUUGGGCUCCCAUAUUGGGUGUAAUAAUGAAUCUCUCUAUUUAUUUUGGGGAAAUAUAUGUAUAUAUAUAUACAAAGAGCUUCCAUUGAGGGAUCCUUCAAAUAAGCUUAUUUGAGGGACACUCCUUGUAGGCCCCAAUCCGGAUUGUAUUUCACUAAUCCAAACCGUCUAUUUUGUAGAUACUCAUUCAAAGAUCAUCUAUACAAAAAAUCACUUGAAUCCGAUAUCAUGUGACCACUCAAUUGAGUUAUUGAAAUUUUAGUACUUUCUUAAAGCACCGUGUUCAUUGAUUUUGUAAGACACAAUUGGAUGUCUAAACGGUUUCCGAUUUGUCUAAUUUUUUGUAAGGAUGAUCUAUGAAUAAAUACCUAAAAAUAGAUGGUUUGGAUUAUUGGGAAAAGAAUUGUAGGGUACCCUAAAGGGCGUCCCUCAAAUAAAAUUAUUUGAGAAAUCUCUCAAUAGAAGGGGACUGUAUAUAUAUAUAUAUUGAUUGCUCUUGUGAAUAAUUUUACUGUUUAUAAGAAAGGUUGUGUAUUUCAAUUUGUUUGAUCCUAGGUAAAAGUUCAGUCGGCAGAGGAUACAGGUCCAUUAAGGAAGAAAGUUUUCGGAACCUGUCCUCUCUCGUAAUACAGUGGGGUCUGAAGCCAGUUCCACACCAUUAUACAGUUGGGACAAAUUAGACGACGGAAGCUCCCAGGUGCCAGCACAUGGAGAUUGUAUUUUCUUUGGUCGACCAAGUUGACUAAAUUAAAUUUGGCAGCACAGGCAUGCGCCAAACGUAUGUAAAUUGUUUAUCUAAUCAUCGGUAUACUAGUGCCUAUUUCAUCUUUUUGUUAAAUGUUAGCGUAAAUAAUAUUGUACUUAUUAUUCCUUGAUGGAUAUUGAACCUUUUGGUGGCUGAGAGAGCAGGCUGUAAGUAAAUUUUUAUGGUGCUUAGAUAGUAGCUACUGAAUCGCUGUGGCCUAUCACACCAUCUAGUUACUGAGCAAUCUCAUACAAACAACCAUUGAUUUUACAUAGAACGAACCGAAAAACAAGGAUAAGAAAGCAAUAGAUCAGAGUAGAAGGAACAUUUACAAACAUGGAGACACGGGACUAUUUGUGACACUUUAUUUAGUACAUGAAAAUAUGGUAAGCUUUAUAUUAUACAUGUUACCAAUAUAUAUGAGAAGAAAACACCAAAUUCAACGUUGUACCAAUCUACUUGGAUAACGCUAGCUCAAAGCUAGAACUGGUGAAGGCUCUAGUAUUCGGUGCACAUGCUCAUACACUUGCCACCUUCACAUACCCUGAUGCAGUUCUCAGUGUUGGAUACGGGAGGUAUGCAUUUAAGAGCUUUCUUGCAAGGAAUGGUCCAGCAACCCACAAUCACGACGACGGAAAAGCAUAUAAACAGACCCAUGCAAAGUAGAAAGUAGAAAUCAUGCAGCUUUUUUUGGUAAUUAUCAACAGGCACAACCUGCCUUUGUUCCGGUUCAUCCUUAAUUUCUACACUUGUAGGAUCUUGACAAGUAACCUGCCCUGAAGCUUCUAUUUUUAUUGAACUCCAGUACGAUAAUAUGUUAUUUUUGAGCCCAUGAUCUGAAUGUGAAGUUUCUAGCUUCUCCAGAUCACUUUCCAAUUUAUUGCGCUCACUCUUGGUUCGGUUUCUCUGCAUGACGCUUCUUUUAUAAUUGCCUCCAAUUACAAGCAAUGAAACCAAGUUGAGUAUGGCUGCUAUUAGAGAGAGGCUGAAAAGGAACCAGCGAUCUGAGCAUCGCAGCGCUCUGGUACCACUGACGAUAACCCCUAAAAUAAUUCCUUGAAAGACGAAGUAGUAGUUUGCAAGGUUGAAGGCACUCGUUUGAAGUUCAUUUACACGAUCGAUCUGCUUGUCAACUGUAGUUUGUAGCUGCUGUUUUCUUUUCUCCAUGAUUUCUUUUUUUUCAUUGUCACCAUUGGGUGGACAUGGAUGGUUAACCAUACUUAAACUAAGAGAGCUAAAGAUAUAAGAAUAAUGCAGAGAGUCUUAGAGUAAAGUCCCCUCCUCCUCCAUACAACUUAUAUACACAGAGAUACUGCUGGCUUUUUGAAUAAUCCAAACUCACCUCCUCCUCCAUACAAUAAAUACACAGAGAUACUGUUGGCUUUUUGAAUAAUCCAAACUCACUCUCACACUCAUUCUAAAACAAAGGACUUAAAGUAAAGCAAGACUUCUCAGUGCAGGACGUCCGUUCUUUGUUAAAGGACUGAUUCUCUAUUGAUAAUGUUGUCGACGACGUAUCAAUCAGGACGAAUCCAGGAUUUCAAAACUCCGUGGGCUAAAUUUACUUUACGUUCGCAGGAAAUUUCAGCGGUGAGGGCUAUAUCGCACCGAGUUGGACUUUACAACACGUGUGAGAGAAAAAAGAGAUACACAUAAUCAAAAAGGAGAAAUGAAGGAAAAAAAAACAAGAGAAAAGCAAAAAAAAAUAUAUAUAUAGGAAGAAGAAACUGUGGGAAAAAGCUCAAUUCGUAGUAGAUCCAAACCAUAAAAAAAUGGAGAAACAAAGGAUCACUACAAGAAAAAACCUUUUUCGCGACCAAAUUCCCUGCGACCAACCAAAUUUUGGUCGCCAAAAGAAGCUUAUAGGCGACAAAAUUAUGGAAUUUGGUCGCCAAAGGUUUCGUUAACUAUAAGACUUCAGCGAACGGAAUGGCGACCAACUAUUAUUCAAAGGCAACCGAAAUUUUUUGUGGCCAGCUGACAAUUUGGCGACCAAACAUGUGUUUGGUCGCCAUUUUUUGAAAUGGUGCGCACAGGAAAAUGAAAAAUUAGGGGCAACGAAAAUAUUUGGUCGCCAAAUUUGCCAGAAUGGUCUCGAAAAGAAAACUCGCGCCUAAAUAUUUCAUGGGGUUUGCGACUAAUAUAUUUUCGUCGCCAAUAAGAGGUUUUACGAAUUGAAAUUUUAAAAACUACGUCGUUUUUACUGACCUUGCUGUUUGGCCACCAAACGUUUUUGUGGCUGAUUCUUGAGACUUAAAUUUUAGAACCCUCUUCUCUCUGCCCAAUUCACUUCUCUAUACCUCCUCUCUGCAUCGCGCACACCAUCGUUACUCCGGCGUCGACAGAACAAUUGUCCACCGACGACGACUAGUCAUAUAGAAACUCUCUUCCCCUAUGAUUUCUCUUGGCAUGAGUUACUUAUUUCCCCCUCUCUCUGCCCCUAAUUUUCUAGAAUCUUCUCAGCCACUUACUUCUUCUGCUGCCUCUCUUCAGGUAUGGACACCAUCUCUCUGACACUAAUUUUCUAGAAUCUCUAGAAUCUCCUCAGCCAUUUCCCUCUUCUAUUGCCUCUCUUUAUGUAUGAAUGCCAGUUUCUUUGAAUUUUUUAGUUUUGAGUUUUGGGUUUGCCAUAUUUUGAUCUGGCACUUACAAAUGAACCCUGAUUCUGUUAUCUCUCUCACACACAUGAGAAAUUCAUUGUUUGUUAAAAAAUGACGGUGAGAUUUCUGUUCCAGAAUCAGGAAAAUAUGCUACUUCUGUGAAUGCAUGAUAAAAUACGGGAAUUGGCCUUGCCGAAAAGAGGCAAACUCCUUGUCUUCUUAAAGUUUUGUUCUUGAUACCACACAUGUUGAUUCUAUAUAGAAAGUUGAUAAGUAAUAUGUGCUUAUUCCUUCAUGUCUAACCUUGAGUCUGUUGCUUGGCAUUAUGUUGAAAGCUGAAUAUAUGCUACUAAUUUUGACAGAAGAUGUAAGGCUAUGUGGUUUUAUGUUGGGGUUUUACCUUGGAUAUUUGCCCCUUUUAUGAUUGCUUUCAUUAUGAUGGUUUGGAUUAAUAAGCAAAAAAAUAAUCUUGUUUUUAUACUGUUAUGUUUUUAUGUUUUCGAUUGUGAUGUUCAUUGAAAUUAAGGGCAGAGGUUUAGACUAUUUUGAGUCUGGAGACUAAUUUGGUCUCAACCUCUCCCAAAAUUAAGUCUUUUGCUAUGUUUUUCUUUUGUAAAAUCAAUUAUCUAGCUGCUUCAAUUUUUUUUGUACUUUUUAAAUGAUUAUAGUGUUCUACACUUGAAAAUCAUAUGUACAUUGCUUGUUCUCUAGUGGGAUCCUUUUUGUUUUUUCAAUUAACUUAAAUGAGAGGAUUUCUUUGCUAGUCAGCAAUUUUAGAAGAGUAUGUUCGUUAAGUAACAUUCUUGGAGAAGUUUUUGGUUAAUUUUGAGUCUCCAGGAUUAUGAGAAACUGAUGGGUCUUCUUAAGGAUUUGGUUAGCAGCAGGCCAUGGUAUUGGCAUAGAUUACGAAAAUUAACUGUUUUGUACUAUUUUUGCUGUUUUUUUAAAUUUUAUGGUGUCUAACAGAGUUUGUUUUAUGUUUUGCCUUAGGUUUCAGUUUGAAAUACUUGCUUAAGAGGCUAUAUUCUGUCAAGAGGUAUGGAUAGCUAAAAAUCUUGCUUUUUGGUUAAGAGGUAUAUUUGCUUCAAAAUAUUGUUAUCAUUAUCCACAUGAAACUGUUUGCUACUAUCUAUUUGUAUUCUCAUGGCUAUGAAAUUUCAGUUUGCAAUGAAUGGCUAUAUCAAUCUAAAAGGUUAGUUUUGUGUAGAAAUUGAAUGCAAGUAAAUUGUAUUGCAUACCUCUGUGGUGUCUCUAUAGUUGACUAGUCUGUGUUGCAUAUCUAUACUAAGGCCAGCUCCAUGAACAAACUGUGUUCUGGAUUGGGCCCUAAUUUGGGGCCAUAUCUAUUAAAAGUUUAAUUUGAACUUAUUCAGUGGUCCAAAUAAAUAUCUAAUUCAGGGACCAAAUUAGUUUAACUCAAAUAAAAUGGAAAAACAACUGAAAGGUAGAGUAGCUCAGCAACAUCAUUUCUCAGUGUUCAUUCCAACCUCAAAUUACCUUUUUAUACAACUUCAGUCCUCAUUCAACAUGAUUUAUUUUGACACAUAGAUUGAGGAUUUACUGGUUCAAACUUGAAAGUAUAUAUACAUAUUGUAUCCCCAUUAUAAAAAUAUUUUUUUAUGUAGCAAUGUUUUAAUUCUAAUUAAGUCUGUUGUUGUUCAAGAGAGUUUUUUUGAUGUUGAUCCUAUGAGCAUGUGUUAAUUUGCUUGGCUGAGUAUGAUGGAGGAGAUAAAAUAAGAGUUCUCCUGUGUUGUGAUGAAUUUCAUAUGGAAUGCAUUGACAAAUGGCUAAAAGAAAAGCAAGGGUACAUUCAUUACUUCUGUGAUACUUAUCCUAGUUUACCAAGUGCUUGCUUUUGAUGAAUUAUAUUCCUAUAUAUGACGAUAUCUUAUAUUCUCCAUAUGCUAGAGUCUUCAGAUUAGCUGACAUGAAUUAAUUUUCCAAUUUCAUUGCCUGAUUUUUUUUUCUUCCAGCUAUUUGCAUUAGACUUGAAAUUUUCCUAAGAAACUCCUUGAUCAGCCUGUGUCAAUAAUUCUUUCAUUGAUUAUAUAUUGUUCUCUCAUUUUUCUGAAGUUAACUUGAUUGAGUUGUCAUGCACUGCCUGAAAUUUUGGAUACCAUGUGAGUUAUAAGUUGCGAAUGAAAUUGAGACGAAAAACAAUGAACUCUAUUUUUAUAAGAAAAUUAGUCUGCUUUGAGUUUAAGUUUGUUUUUUCUUGAUACGUAAGUAGGAGAUUUUAAAUUGGGCUUGUUUGUGCUUUUUGUGCAUCUGCAUAUAUAGCAAUAAAAGGAAAGUGAUGGUUCCAAUAGAGCAGAUCAAAGAUGUACCACAUUAAUACCAAUUUGUAUUUUGUGUUACUCUGUAUAUACAUAUUUGACAUUGCUUUAUUUUGUUUCUUUGGUAGAGGCAGAUGACGAAUGAGUUUGAGAAGCUGAAGCAACAAUUGGUAGAGUAUGAAUUCAUGUCACGGUACAUAUCCCACAAGCUUGGUCUCUAGUCUUCAUGUGGAGAAAAUGAAUGCAUGACUUGGGGUUACAAAGGGAAAGAAAAUUCGGAGCCUGGUCUCUAGUUUUUUUUUAAUUUUUUGGUGAACCUGGACUCUAGUCUUUGAGUGUUCUUCAUUCAUUUAUGCUUCUAGUUUUUGGAUAUAGGGUACGAAAUUUAUGUGUACUUAAAUGACUAGUAUGCUUGUGUGCCUCAGAAUGUUUACAACUUUAUUUAUAUUAUUUUCAAUUGAUUUUGCUUCCCUAAAUUUGUUGUUUUCUGAAAUUACAAUAUGUUUAUUUAUUGUUUUUGAGAAACUCUCCAUUCUUUUUAAUUGACAAAAAAAUAAAAAUAAAAAAACACAUUUUAGCGACGAAAGAAGUAGCUUCAGCGACGAAAUCUCUUAGACCUAUUGGCAACAAACAUUACAUUUGGUCGCCCAAUCCCUUUUAAGUACGCGCCAAUUUUUGGUCUUUUGGUGGGAGGCUACCUUCAUAGGCGACCAACUGAAGUCUAUUAGGCGACGAAACUAUUUGGUCGCUUAAACAAUUUGGCGACGAAAAUUAGCUUUGGUCGCCUGGUACUUUUAGCCACGAGGCUAAGGCGACGACCUUAGCGACGAAAUAAUUUGGUCGCCAAAUUGUUUUGGCGACGAAAUUUGACCUUUUAGCGACGAAAAGUGGUGGUCGCUAAAAGGGUUUUUCCGGAAAAAAAACAAGAGAAAGGUGGAAAAACAAAAAGAAAUAGGAAGAAGAGAGAGAGAAAUGAAGAAAAUAAGAAUGUAAUGGGGGAGUAGCCCAACUUCUUAUAAACUCAGGCUAGGUCCCUUAACAUUUCAAUAUGGGACAAACACUUUCAACACGCCUCCGUACGUGUGGCGAACUUUCAAGCCUAACGCGUGGACAACACAUAUUGGAUGACGUGAGAGCACGUGUGGCCUUUAUGCCAAACACGUGAAGCCUUGCUCUGAUACCAUGAAGAAAGUUGAGGUUCUACCCCAAAACCAAUUAGCAAUGGGGGGAGUAGCCCAACUCUUUAUAAACCCAAGCUAGGUCUCUUAACAUUUCAAUAUAGAACAAACACUCUCAACAAGAAUAUGGGUAUUGAAAUUUUCUUUUUUUAAAAUGCAUGGGCUAGAGAGAGAGACGUAGACUACAUGACAUUGACAAAAAAAAGAAAAAAAGCAUGGGCUAUAGCCCACACAGCCCAAUAGCUAGAUUCGUCAAAAAAUGGAGGACGGAUUUGGUACGUAGGGGAGGAAAGUUGCUCUUGGUACAAACAAACUUCAGCUUCUCUAUAUUGGAAAGUGAGAACAUCUCUUUGGCAAAGUUUACCAUUGAAAGGGAAACUUCCCCUGUUACUGUUAGUACAUUUCAACUUGCUUAAAAUUUUAUUAAUAUUUUAUUACAUGUAAGGGAAAAAUAAAACUCACAAAUCAUCUCUCACACAACUACAGCUGGCCUGAAGCCAUCUCCACACAGGACUUUCUCCUGUUGGUUCGAUGCAGUAUGUGGUCAAACUGUACAUAAAACAAAAGGAUUGCUUUGCUGUUCUCUGGUACAGUGUUUGAGUGGCUGGCAGCACAACAACUUGAAAAUAAAACCAAGCCAAUAAAAGGACUUAAUACAACCCCAUAUGUAUAAUCUGACACACAAGUUUAUGACAGAAACUUGCUUAGUUGGUUCUCAGCUACGAAAAACAAAUAUGAAAUACUGCAGGUAAGAAACAAAAGACUUAUAGGGCUAUUGAUCAUGCAUGCCACAUGAUGAGUGGUAGAAUAUAGACCACCCUGGAUUGUGCAUGAUCUUCUUUCCACUAUUUCAACUCUUAUGGUUAUAGCCUUGUUAGAUUGUGAUAAGUUGAAAUUGUCUUAGCCUGAAGAUUAUAAUUACACUCCUUCAUGCCUAAAGUAAUCAGAAUCUUAUCUUUUCUAAGGCCUAUAAUUCUUUCAUAAUACCCAGAAAUUCGUAUUCAUUCUUAUUUGUAAAAUCUGUUGACCCAGAAAAUCAUAUAAACCAUUGCAGAUUAAAUAAUUUAGUAAGCUUUAUUUUAUAUAUAUAUAUAUAUAUAUAUAUAUAUAUAUUACCAAUCUAUGAGAAAUAAAACACCAAAUUCAACGUAAGCUGGUACUAAUCAACUUGGAUAACCCCAGCUCAAAGCUAGAACUCUUGUAAGCUCUACUAUUCGGUGCACAUGCUCAUACACUUGGCACCUUCACAAACCCUAAUGCAUUUCUCAGUGCUGGAUACGGGUGGUAUGCAUUGAAAAGCUUCCUUGCAAGGAAUGGUCCAGCAACCCACAACCACGAUGACGGCAAAGGAUACAAAGAGACCCAUGCAAAGUAGAAAGUAGAAAUCACGCAGCUGUUUGUGAAGAUUAUCAACCGGCACAACCCGCUUCCUGAUCUGCCUUUGUUCCGGUUCAUCCUUAAUUUCAACAGUUGUAGGAUCUUGACAAGUAACAUGCCCUGAAGCUUCAAUUUUUGUCGACUCCCAGUACGAUAAUAUAUUAGUUUUGAGCCCGUGAUCUGAAGCUGAAGUUUCUAGCUUCCCCAGAUCGUUUUCCAAUUUAAUGUGCGCACUCUUGGUAUGGUGUCUCUGCAUGACGCUUCUUUUAUAAUUGCCUCCAAUUACAAGCAAUGAAACCAGAUUGAGUAUGGCUGCUAUUAGAGAGAGGCUGAAAAGGAACCAACGAUCUGAGCAUCGGAGGGCUGUGGUGGCGUUGACGAUAGCCCCCAAAAUAACUCCUUGGAAGACAAUGUAGUAGUUUGCAAGGUUGAAGGCACUCGUUUGAAGAUGGUUUACACGAUCAUCCUGCUUCUCAAUUGUAGCUUGUAGCUCCUCUUUUCUUCUCUCCAUGUUCUCCCUUUUUUCUUUGUCACCGUUUUGUGGACAUGGAUGGUUAGUCAUGCUCAAACUAAGUGAGAGAGAGAUAAAGAUAAAGAAUAUGCAGAGAGUCUUAGAGUAUAACGUCUCACACUCAGCUGGUCCUUUCUCUACAAGAUGAACAAUAAUCCAAUACAUAUACACAGCAGAGAUACUAUUGGCUUUGUGAAUAAUCCAAUACACUCACUCUCACACUCAGCUGCUCCUUGUUCUACAAGAUGCACAAUAAAAGUGUCAAAACACGGCAUGAUUUCUC